AGGUGCGGAACAUCUGCUCGAUGUAAGCGUUGGCCCCCGUGUCGAGGCCGCGCAGGCCGAAGAACUGCUUGAACUCGUGCAGGGUCAUCCACCGUGCUGCCUGUCGCAUUGCCCAUGACCACCGCCUGUUGUUUGCCCGACGGGUCUACUGUGAACGGCACCUCACAGUCACACAAAGAGCGGGCGAAGAAGGGCAGAAGCCGCUGCGAUGCCUUUUGUAGGCCACUUUGUGAUGCCCUUCUCGCUUCCUAAUCCCCGCAGGUAAUCUAAUCUAACGCGUUAAGAAGCCCCAUUAAAACGGAUGCCGCCUUGCCAGGUACGCUGACACGACAAAACGGCACGUUCAUCUGUCACGUGGAGGCGCGCGGCCCCUCGGUGCGGGCGUAAAAUCGAGACCCCCCCACCCCCACAGUGUGACAGUGCCAUCAUUCUUUUAAUGCAAUACUUGUGUCGUGACGUUGAACACAAAGAAACGAAAAUUCUGUUUGAAUGGAAAAUUGGUGGGGGGCGGCUAAUGUUUAUCAUAGGGCUGACCAAUUAAUUAAAUCAAAAUUCAUGUUGCUAAAAAAAAAAAACCCCAAAAAAAACAUGGUAAGAGGACUAAGAAAAAGUAAUCGAAUUGCAAUCACCCUGUUGAGGAAAGAAAAUUGCAAUUAAAUCAUUUUUC
Long non-coding RNA from Hippocampus comes (tiger tail seahorse), 667 nucleotides. RefSeq lists it as uncharacterized. The transcript has 2 exons. Lineage: Eukaryota; Metazoa; Chordata; Actinopteri; Syngnathiformes; Syngnathidae. The record is from RefSeq and is a predicted model, not a curated record.